This 490-nucleotide ribosomal RNA is filed under the name uncultured bacterium. RNAcentral describes it as "partial 16S ribosomal RNA". It matches the Rfam family "Bacterial small subunit ribosomal RNA", at positions 30 to 507 of the family's 1533-position model. The record is from RNAcentral.
AUUGAACGCUGGCGGCAGGCCUAACACAUGCAAGUCGAACGGUAACAGGAAGCAGCUUGCUGCUUCGCUGACGAGUGGCGGACGGGUGAGUCAUGUCUGGGAAGCUGCCUGAUGGAGGGGGAUAACUACUGGAAACGGUAGCUAAUACCGCAUAAUGUCGCAAGACCAAAGAGGGGGACCUUCGGGCCUCUUGCCAUCGGAUGUGCCCAGAUGGGAUUAGCUUGUUGGUGGGGUAACGGCUCACCAAGGCGACGAUCCCUAGCUGGUCUGAGAGGAUGACCGGCCACACUGGAACUGAGACACGGUCCAGACUCCUACGGGAGGCAGCAGUGGGGAAUAUUGCACAAUGGGCGCAAGCCUGAUGCAGCCAUGCCGCGUGUAUGAAGAAGGCCUUCGGGUUGUAAAGUACUUUCAGCGGGGAGGAAGGGAGUAAAGUUAAUACCUUUGCUCAUUGACGUUACCCGCAGAAGAAGCACCGGCUAACUCCGUG